This 1099-nucleotide ribosomal RNA is filed under the name uncultured scuticociliate. RNAcentral's name for it is "SSU rRNA". It matches the Rfam family "Eukaryotic small subunit ribosomal RNA", at positions 121 to 1261 of the family's 1831-position model. The record is from RNAcentral. Lineage: Eukaryota; Ciliophora; Oligohymenophorea.
UUGAUAAUGGAAAGCUACAUGGAUAACCGUGGUAAUUCUAGAGCUAAUACAUGCUGUCAAGCCCAACUUCUCGGAAGGGCUGUAUUUAUUAGAUAUCAAGCCAAUAUUCCUUCGGGUCUAUUGUGGUGAAUCAUAGUAACUGAUCGAAUCCUCAUUUGGAUAAAUCAUUCAAGUUUCUGCCCUAUCAGCUUUCGAUGGUAGUGUAUUGGACUACCAUGGCAUUAACGGGUACGGAGAAUUAGGGUUCGGUUCCGGAGAGGGAGCCUGAGAAACGGCUACCACAUCUAAGGAAGGCAGCAGUGGUGAAAAUUACCCAAUCCUGAUUCAGGGAGGUAGUGACAAGAAAUAGAAAUCUGGGCCACUUUCGUGGUUACGGAAUUUAAAUGAGAACAAUUUAAAAGACUUAUCGAGGAACAAUUGGAGGGCAAGUCUGGUGCCAGCAGCCGCGGUAAUUCCAGCUCCAAUAGCGUAUAUUAAAGUUGUUGCAGUUAAAAAGCUCGUAGUUGAACUUCUGUACAGUCUCAUUUCUGGCUUAGGUCAAGAUGUUGGCUGUGCAUCCGCUUGCAAAGCUGGUUCGGCCUUAACUGGUCGGCUAGUAGAGUAAGCCCUUUACUUUGAAAAAAUUAGAGUGUUUCAGGCAGGCAAUGGCUCGAAUACAUUAGCAUGGAAUAAUGGAAUAGGACUUUUGUCCAUUUGGUUGGUUAUUGGACUUAAGUAAUGAUUAAAAGGGACAGUUGGGGGCAUUGGUAUUUAACAGUCAGAGGUGAAAUUCUUGGAUUUGUUAAAGACUAACUUAUGCGAAAGCAUUUGCCAAGGAUGUUUUCAUUAAUCAAGAACGAAAGUUAGGGGAUCAAAGACGAUCAGAUACCGUCCUAGUCUUAACUAUAAACUAUACCGACUCAGAAUCGGAAUGGCCUUUCAAACUAUUCCGGCGCUGUAUGAGAAAUCAAAGUCUUUGGGUUCUGGGGGGAGUAUGGUCGCAAGGCUGAAACUUAAAGGAAUUGACGGAAGGGCACCACCAGGCGUGRAACCUGCGGCUUAAUUUGACUCAACACGGGGAAACUUACGAGCGCAAAACUAGGGUAGGAUUGACAGAUUG